CCCCUCAAUUUUUAGUUUGAAACUCAAGAGGAAAGGAAGAAGAAAAAGAAAGGAAAUUGUGAAAAGAAGGAAAAUGAAUAGAAAACUAAUGUGAAAUCAAGAGGGGACUUUUCUGGAAAGCAAAAUUAAUAUUAAACAAAAUUAAUUAAUUAAAAUUUGAAAAAAAAACUAAAAUCUCCUAUUAACUAUCCCACUAACAACACAAUCCCACCAAAUUUGACACCUCAAUCCAUAUCCAGCUACCUCAAAAUUUUAACUCC
RNAcentral lists this long non-coding RNA (260 nucleotides) under Gossypium raimondii (Peruvian cotton). Its description in RNAcentral is "long non-coding RNA (GRAI_LNC009433)". Lineage: Eukaryota; Viridiplantae; Streptophyta; Magnoliopsida; Malvales; Malvaceae. The record is from RNAcentral.